This 243-nucleotide unclassified non-coding RNA is filed under the name plant metagenome. RNAcentral describes it as "partial contains small subunit ribosomal RNA, internal transcribed spacer 1, and 5.8S ribosomal RNA". The record is from RNAcentral.
UUUCCGUAGGUGAACCUGCGGAAGGAUCAUUAAAGAGUAAGGGUCUCUUGCCCGAACCUCCAAACCUCCGUUGUUCUAACUACUUCGUUGCCGUGUCGUGACCGCAAAGGUUCUCCCGAGCGCGCCAGUCUCCGGACAGCCGAGCGCCCGCCAGAGUCUAACCAAACUCUUGUUUUAAACCAGUCAUCUUAGUAUAAAAUUUUAAUUAAAUUAAAACUUUCAACAACGGAUCUCUUGGUUCUC